RNAcentral lists this ribosomal RNA (253 nucleotides) under uncultured bacterium. RNAcentral describes it as "partial 16S ribosomal RNA". It matches the Rfam family "Bacterial small subunit ribosomal RNA", at positions 524 to 776 of the family's 1533-position model. The record is from RNAcentral.
UACAGAGGGGGCAAGCGUUGUUCGGAAUUACUGGGCGUAAAGGGCGCGUAGGCGGCCUGUUAAGUCGAACGUGAAAUCCCCGGGCUCAACCCGGGAACUGCGUCCGAUACUGGCAGGCUUGAAUCCGGGAGAGGGAUGCGGAAUUCCAGGUGUAGCGGUGAAAUGCGUAGAGAUGUGGAGGAACACCAGUGGCGAAGGCGGCUUUCUGGUCUGUAACUGACGCUGAGGCGCGAAAGCGUGGGGAGCAAACAGG